GGGGGAAUAGCUCCAAUGGUAGAGCAGCAGACUCCAGAUCUGACGGCUGGGCGUUCGAAUCGCUCUUCUCCCA
Capsaspora owczarzaki ATCC 30864 is the source of this 73-nucleotide transfer RNA. It matches the Rfam family "tRNA". Rfam says of the family: Transfer RNA (tRNA) molecules are approximately 80 nucleotides in length. Their secondary structure includes four short double-helical elements and three loops (D, anti-codon, and T loops). Lineage: Eukaryota; Filasterea; Ministeriida; Capsasporidae. The record is from Rfam.